RNAcentral lists this ribosomal RNA (448 nucleotides) under uncultured bacterium. RNAcentral's name for it is "partial 16S ribosomal RNA". It matches the Rfam family "Bacterial small subunit ribosomal RNA", at positions 29 to 523 of the family's 1533-position model. The record is from RNAcentral.
AACGAACGCUGGCGGCAGGCCUAACACAUGCAAGUCGGACGCUGCAGCAAUGCAGAGUGGCAGACGGGUGAGUAACGCGUGGGGACCUUCCCAGUGGUACGGAAUAGCCCAGGGAAACUUGGGGUAAUACCGUAUAAGCCCCUAGGGGGAAAGAUUUAUCGCCAUUGGAUGGGCCCGCGUCGGAUUAGCUAGUUGGUGAGGUAAUGGCUCACCAAGGCGACGAUCCGUAGCUGGUCUGAGAGGAUGAUCAGCCACACUGGGACUGAGACACGGCCCAGACUCCUACGGGAGGCAGCAGUGGGGAAUAUUGGACAAUGGCGCAAGCCUGAUCCAGCCAUGCCGCGUGAGUGACGAAGGCCUUAGGGUUGUAAAGCUCUUUUGGCGGGGACGAUAAUGACGGUACCCGCAGAAUAAGCUCCGGCUAACUUCGUGCCAGCCGCCGCGGUAA